ACGGGAGGCAGCAGUAGGGAAUAUUGCACAAUGGGGGAAACCCUGAUGCAGCGACGCCGCGUGAGUGAUGAAGUAUUUCGGUAUGUAAAGCUCUAUCAGCAGGGAAGAUAAUGACGGUACCUGACUAAGAAGCCCCGGCUAACUACGUGCCAGCAGCCGCGGUAAUACGUAGGGGGCAAGCGUUAUCCGGAUUUACUGGGUGUAAAGGGAGUGUAGGUGGUUUGGCAAGCCAGAUGUGAAAGCCCGGGGCUCAACCCCGCGGACUGCAUUUGGAACUGUUAAACUUGAGUGCAGGAGAGGAAAGUGGAAUUCCUAGUGUAGCGGUGAAGUGCGUAGAUAUUAGGAGGAACACCAGUGGCGAAGGCGGCUUUCUGGACUGUAACUGACACUGAGGCUCGAAAGCGUGGGGAGCAAACAGGAUUAGAUACCCUGGUA
This 435-nucleotide ribosomal RNA is filed under the name uncultured Lachnospiraceae bacterium. Its description in RNAcentral is "bacterial SSU rRNA". It matches the Rfam family "Bacterial small subunit ribosomal RNA", at positions 341 to 792 of the family's 1533-position model. The record is from RNAcentral. Lineage: Bacteria; Bacillati; Bacillota; Clostridia; Lachnospirales; Lachnospiraceae.